CAGCCUCCCCCCAUCUGCCCACCUUCCAGGCUCACUUCUCCGACUCACCUGGCUUUCGGUGCCCUCCGGCGGCGCGGCCCGCCCCCCUGCGGACCCCCCAACCCGGCCGUCGUGCCCUGGAGGAUAUGGGUUACAGACCGUGCGGAGGCACCAGCUCCGCGGGCGGCUGUCCUGGCUCAAGUAGAAGAAAACCACCGGGGCCAGCGCCGGGUCCACAGUCUGCCGGGUCUGCCUGCCUUUCCCCCACAGCGUCAAGAAGCCCCAGGGCUGAAUCCCUUUCUCAAGCACAUGCCUGGUACCAGGGGAAGGGAACUGAGGACACACACAGUCAAGCGAAGACUGGCUAGAGAGGUAGGAGACACCAAACGCACCCCCUUUCACAGCUGUGCCUGCACCUCCUGGAGGAAAAGGAAGGCUUGGCGGUUUUUAUUGUACCCUGAAGACCCCAGAAGGAACCAGAUGUGGGACAGGAGGAGGCUGCAGAAAAGUGCCAGCCUUCCAUGCAGCAGAAAGGAAUCAGAUUUGGAGAAUGACUUCCAGCCCAACAGAUGUUCCAAAUGAAAGAGGACUCUCCGUGAACUGGUUGGUGUGAAAGCAGGGGCGUGGACAAUAUGACCUCCUGCAGGAAGGGCCCCAUACUGGUAAGGCUGGGGGGCUGGGUGGACACCCCCAAAAUGAGCAUCCCUGGUCCUAAGAAUGGCAGCUCCCAUGAUGUACCAGAGCAUAUGCAAAUGUUACCAUUCCUUGAAAAAUAAAGGCUCAUGUAAAGCAUCCCCUUCCUCUUCCCUAGCUUAAAACAGGAGACAAUGGGAAGAAAGAGAGCAGGCCCCUUUCUUAACCCCACUGAGGGCAAGGACUAGCCCC
Molecule: long non-coding RNA, 864 nt
Organism: Suricata suricatta (meerkat)
Lineage: Eukaryota; Metazoa; Chordata; Mammalia; Carnivora; Herpestidae
Source: Ensembl